This 475-nucleotide ribosomal RNA is filed under the name uncultured bacterium. RNAcentral describes it as "bacterial SSU rRNA". It matches the Rfam family "Bacterial small subunit ribosomal RNA", at positions 29 to 486 of the family's 1533-position model. The record is from RNAcentral.
AACGAACGCUGGCGGCGCGUUUUAAGCAUGCAAGUCGAACGGUAGUACAAAGCUUGCUUUGUAUGAGAGUGGCGAACGGGUGAGUAACACGUGAGUGAUCUGCCUUGAGAUUGGGGAUAGCCCAUGGAAACAUGGGGUAAUACCGAAUAAGCUCAAGAACUUUGAAUGGUUUUUGAGGAAAAGAGCUACGGCUCUGUCUCUGGAUGAGCUCGCGGUCCAUUAGCUUGUUGGUGGGGUAAAGGCCUACCAAGGCGACGAUGGAUAGCCGGCCUGAGAGGGUGACCGGCCACAUUGGGACUGAGACACGGCCCAGACUCCUACGGGAGGCAGCAGCUAAGAAUCUUCCGCAAUGGGCGAAAGCCUGACGGAGCGACGCCGCGUGAACGAUGAAGGCAGAGAUGUUGUAAAAGUUCUUUUUUCCUAAGGAGGAAUAAGAGAUAGAGGGAAUGCUAUCUCGAUGACGUUAAUUAGGGAA